Gasterosteus aculeatus aculeatus (three-spined stickleback) is the source of this 805-nucleotide non-coding RNA. The record is from RefSeq and is a predicted model, not a curated record. NCBI's taxonomy places the organism in Eukaryota, Metazoa, Chordata, Actinopteri, Perciformes, Gasterosteidae.
GUUGAGGCAUCCGUGAACCUUUGAUUUCUCUUCAGUCUGGUGCAGUCUGAGAGAAAAGAGAGAUUCCGACCAUGAUGCUACCAAUUUGAGGUACUUGAUGCCCCCCCACAAUGAUGGCAGAAGACUGACCGGUAGAGCCCUCGCGCUGCGUCCCGACACAUCCGAGCCCUGGUGGGCCAGGAGAGAGCGGCCCAAUCCGAGUCCAAGACGUCGCGGAGACUUCCCUUCUCACAGUACUCCAUGAUGAUGAGGAACCGGGGGCUGGUUCCUGAAACAAGGAGCCCUGAGGAGGAAACAUGGACACUGAUGAACCGAAGCCAACCCAACAUCCUGUGCAACCCCUCUGCUCUUAACCCACCUUAUCAGUUUGGCCUAUGAGCAGAAUUGCUUUCCAUCUGGCUUUUCAUACCAUGAAAGCGCCUCAAAACCCUGUCAGUUAACCUUAGCUGUUGUUCAAGUUCAAACUCACAUUUAAGUGCAGUAUUUCUAACCAUCACACAUCCAACUCGCAUCACUCAACUGCUCUGAGUCGGUCAUUGGGGUCUCUGAAAGGCAAUUUCAUCCAUACUGCAGUUUUUCAUUUCUAACCAUCUCUUUGAAUCAUUAAUUCAUAGGAUAAGAUCAAAAGAUCAAAUCCAGGCUUAAUAAUCAACUGAGCUGAUUCUAACCAUCUACCGUCAACCAUCUAAAAGGACAACAGUCUUGUCCAGUUUGGACUCACGUGUCUUCAGCUCAGCUUCGUCCUCCGCCCUGUCCUCCUCGUCCUCCUUCAUUCUGGAGACCAGCUCGAACACCCGGUGCUGCA